RNAcentral lists this transfer RNA (56 nucleotides) under Heterosigma akashiwo. RNAcentral describes it as "partial tRNA". It matches the Rfam family "tRNA", at positions 7 to 56 of the family's 71-position model. From Rfam's summary of the family: Transfer RNA (tRNA) molecules are approximately 80 nucleotides in length. Their secondary structure includes four short double-helical elements and three loops (D, anti-codon, and T loops). Lineage: Eukaryota; Raphidophyceae; Chattonellales; Chattonellaceae. The record is from RNAcentral.
UAGGUAGCUCAGUUGGUUAGAGCAAAGGACUGAAAAUCCUUGUGUCAGUGGUUCGA